AAUUCCCUUUCUAUCUUUCUAUUGGCCCAACGAUAAUCAAAUCGUAGUCCCUUCUUUUAUUUAAUGGGUAAAACUACCAUAUAUUGCCCAUAUUGGUCAGUUUGGUUGACUUCAUUACAUUUUAGAGCCUUUGCAAAAGCUUUUGUGAACACCUUAACUCACUUUCUCCAACGAUCAACAGAUGUAUGCUAAUUACAGAAAUGUUGCAGCAAAAUCGAUUGCACUUCCGUAUAGACUCAUCUAGCAGACAUAUCGGUUAGUUAUGCUCCUCGGGAUUUCGUACCAGUUAAGAUUUUUUUUUUUACAUCUGAAUAGAAAGACAUUCCACGUGUUGACAAGCAUGGAAGUAUGGACUUGGGAGAUAAACAUCAUGUGACUGCUGCCAUGGAAGUCCAGCAAAGAAGGACCACAGACAGAAUCAGAAACCUGAUAGAUGGAAAUAUAUUCAAAUCAGCAAUACAUCUAAAGUGACUAUAAUAAACAAUUGUUUAUUGUUAUAAA
Long non-coding RNA from Esox lucius (northern pike), 501 nucleotides. RefSeq lists it as uncharacterized. The record is from RefSeq and is a predicted model, not a curated record. The transcript has 3 exons. NCBI's taxonomy places the organism in Eukaryota, Metazoa, Chordata, Actinopteri, Esociformes, Esocidae.